ACAUUUGGCCCUCCAGAUUUGCUGGAAGGGAACAACAGGCAAGCUCUCAUUUAAGCAGAUGGAAGCAACAGCAACAAUGAUCCGCUGUGCUGUACGCAAAAACCAUGUGGCAAAGCAAGCAACAGAUGUCGACAUUGACAAACAUAUCAUGAAGUGGUUCCAUUUGGGCUCAGACAACACCCGCAGGGGAAGUCGCCAGAGUCGAGCACAGGCUCCGAACAUAGAGGCUGAGGAUGACUGAGGAUAGCUAAUGACGACGACUGUGAUGAUUGUUUUUUUUUGUUUGUUUUUUUUUACUUUAAAUGUGCAUACAGUUGUGGAAAUUCAUAAAACAGUUGAACAGAGAAAUGUUUUUUUAAAAAUAGUUUGCAAUGUGCGUUGUGGAAAUGCAUUAAACAGUUCAAAAGAGAUGUUUUUUUUAAAAAUGGUUUACAAUGUGCAUACUGUUGUGGAAAUGCAUAAAAUGCAAAGGUUCAAAAGAGAAAUCAUUUCUUUAAAAAAAAUACAAUUUGUAAUCUUGACCUUCGUUAUUGCUGCAACAGUGUUAAAAGGAUGGUUCAACAUUUUGGCAAUUUGGCUUAUUGCCAUUAUCCCUAGUCUCCCUGAACUAUGGCGUUAAAAAGUGCCGUUAACUGUGUCUUUAAAUGUGCAUGCUGUUGUGAAAACUGAAAACAGGUUUAAUAAAGGGCGGCUGC
This is a long non-coding RNA of Melanotaenia boesemani (Boeseman's rainbowfish), 695 nucleotides long. RefSeq lists it as uncharacterized. The record is from RefSeq and is a predicted model, not a curated record. Lineage: Eukaryota; Metazoa; Chordata; Actinopteri; Atheriniformes; Melanotaeniidae. The transcript has 3 exons.